AUGGUCCUGCUCCUCAAGGGCGUACCUUUCACCCUCACCACGGUGGACACGCGCAGUCCCCGGACGUGCUGAAGGACUUCGCCCCCGGCUCGCAGCUGCCCAUCCUGCUCUAUGACAGCGACGCCAAGACAGACACGCUGCAGAUCGAGGACUUUCUGGAGGAGACGCUGGGGCCGCCCGCUUCCCCAGCCUGGCGCCUCGUUACAGGGAGUCCAACACCGCCGGCAACGACGUUUUCCACAAGUUCUCCGCGUUCAUCAAGAACCCGGUGCCCGCGCAGGACGAACCCUGUACCAGCAGCUGCUGCGCGCCCUCGCCAGGCUGGACAGCUACCUGCGCGCGCCCCUGGAGCACGAGCUGGCGGGGGAGCCGCAGCUGCGCGAGUCCCGCCGCCGCUUCCUGGACGGCGACAGGCUCACGCUGGCCGACUGCAGCCUCCUGCCCAAGCUGCACAUCGUCGAACGGUGUGCGCGCACUUCCGCCAGGCGCCCAUCCCCGCGGAGCUGCGCGGCGUACGCCGCUACCUGGACAGCGCGAUGCAGGAGAAAGAGUUCAAAUACACGUGUCCGCACAGCGCCGAGAUCCUGGCGGCCUACCGGCCCGCCGUGCACCCCCG
This 616-nucleotide long non-coding RNA is filed under the name Homo sapiens (human). RNAcentral's name for it is "non-protein coding lnc-CLIC3-1:3". The record is from RNAcentral. Lineage: Eukaryota; Metazoa; Chordata; Mammalia; Primates; Hominidae.